UGAUUAAAGUAAUAUUAAUUUAUUUCUAUUUGAAUAGCUUUUUGGAAAAUAACAUAUUUUUUCGCUCUUGUUUUUGCUACAUAAGUAAGCAAAUUGAUAUUUGAAGAGUAAAAUUAAUACAGCUUUUUAGAGAUGCUCUUAGUUCAAGUUUCCAUUCAAGCCCAACUCUAUUUCAAUUAAGGAGCACAUUCUUGUGACACAUGGCUUGGUGAAACUUCCGCCCCAAACAAAAUGUUGUCAGGAUUGCUACCAUGUGUAUAUCAAAAUUUGUAAUGUAGAAAUGGUGUAGGAAAUAUUAAAAUUAUACUUGAUAUAGUAGGGAAAAUACACGAAAUACACAAUAUAGGAGGAAUAGAUUCUGAAACAACAGAUUACCAAUUAGAUUUUACAUAUAACGAACAAUGGAAAUAUUAAUUAGAGCAAUGAAAUGACAAUAUAAAUAAGAUAAAAGAAUAUAAUGCAAACUGAGGCAUGUGCGAUACCACAGUUUAUUUAAAUCAAAUUCUCCUUGAACUCUCAGAUGCUUUAGGAUUUGAAUGGCAUUUAUUUUCUAGGACAGAACAACACUGAAUAACUCUGGCGCAUUACCAAAUUGUUUCACAGUGAACUUCCAUUGUGUUUGAAUUCUAUCAAAAUGGGUAUAAAAUGAGAAACUAAAGUCUAUCUAAUUCUAUUUUUCUGUCUAUCACUUGUUUUUGUACAUUUUGUAUGUCUCUUGCCUCUUCUUAUUGCUUCCUUGAAAUGAAGAAGAAUUUCAAUUUAUAAACUUCUGUUUGGGGUAUUUUCGUCCAUAUAUUUGAUUACUAUAAAUUCUGUAAUCGGCGCAUUUAAUUUCUUAUUUACUGCUUUUAUAAUAUCUAAUUGAAAGUGUAAUAGCUACCUUUUAAACCUUUGAUUUAAUUUUUUAAUUAAAUUCAAAUUGUAACCGCAACUUCAUUAACCAUGUAUUAAAUUUUGGAUUUAAUUAAUCAUUAAAAUCUGAGAAUAAAUUUUAAAUUUAAUUAGUAGUUACAAAUAACAAAUUCUAAAAUUGAUUGCAUUAAUUAAUUCCAAAUCUAAUUAGCCGUUACAAUCUCUAUAACUCGUGCUUUUAUCCAAUGCCAUCAAUGGAUAUACAAUGAGCGUGAAUUUCUCAUUCACCAUUUUGAGUAUAUAAGUACAUCAUUUCGAAAUACUUAGAAAGAAGAUUUUCAAUUAUUCUUGACCUUCCACUUACAUUAAUUAAGUCCCACUCAAAAUUAUAUUUUCAAUCAGCUACUCAUUAUACUAUUUUUGCAAUGGAUGCAAUUGUAGUAGAAAUGGUGUCUUGUACUUCGUUUUUAGUAGCCAUCUAGCAAAAGAAUUACAGAUUAGGAGAAACAGUCACCUGAUGAAUUCAUUAACAGUCCUGUUAUACAUUACUUGAAAUUGUUGAUGUAAAGAAGUAAGUAUCACUGGCCCUGUUAUUUAUCGGACAAUAAAAUUUCUCAUUUGGCUGAUGAUCAGCUGGAUCACAAUCAUAAAGCAAGGUGGUAUAGUUAGUUACGUAUGUGUAUGCUUAAUUGGAUUCUGGCACUACCUGUUAAGAGAAACCGAAACUGAGUGAUUUUUGUUCCAAGCUUCUGUCUUUUCUCAAUGUGUCCGAAAGAUAUCAAAUGGACCUUUCAAACUCGUGUUUGAUGACUUCUAGUAGAUUGUAAAAAAUUAAAAAUUGUUGUCCACUUGUAGAAUGUCCUACUAGCCAGUUGCCAGCUUCAAUUCUUCCAUUUACAGCACCACCAAAUAUUCUAAACAUUUUACCCUUCAUGAUCUUGUAAAGUUUAAGGUCAAAUAUCACUGAUAAAAUCAUUCAUCAAAAUAAUGUGUAUGGUGUUCUUUCUUUGUCUACAGAUAAAAUUUUUGUAGGUCUGAUUGCUAGUUUUGCAACAUUUGAUGAUUUUGAAAUAUGUUUCUGUUGCUUUACCUUGCUGCCAAGUUCCUAAUUUAGAUAGUGAUCUGAAUUCAUGUUGAGCAUUUGUUUUGAUGAAUGUUUUAAGGAGUUGACCUCAUUAGAUCAUUUUAAUUUCUUGGCUGGAUAUAUAAUAAGUCUUCAAAUUUGCGUCCUUACUGUCUCACUUCAGCUUCGCAAGUCCAUCUUUUGACUUUGUCUAUGAUCAAUAGUUUGAUGAGCAAUGGCUACUCUAAAAAUCAUUGAUAAGUGCAUAUUUUUUCUAUAUUUUAUUA
This 2202-nucleotide long non-coding RNA is filed under the name Citrus x clementina. Its description in RNAcentral is "Citrus clementina (C. clementina) long non-coding RNA (CCLE_LNC000980)". The record is from RNAcentral. Lineage: Eukaryota; Viridiplantae; Streptophyta; Magnoliopsida; Sapindales; Rutaceae.